CCUACGGGAGGCAGCAGUGAGGAAUAUUGGUCAAUGGACGAGAGUCUGAACCAGCCAAGUAGCGUGAAGGAUGACUGCCCUAUGGGUUGUAAACUUCUUUUAUAUGGGAAUAAAAUGUUCCACGUGUGGGAUUUUGUAUGUACCAUAUGAAUAAGGCUCGGCUAACUCCGUGCCAGCAGCCGCGGUAAUACGGAGGAUCCGAGCGUUAUCCGGAUUUAUUGGGGUUAAAGGGAGCGUAGGUGGAUUGUUAAGUCAGUUGUGAAAGUUUGCGGCUCAACCGUAAAAUUGCAGUUGAAACUGGCAGUCGUGAGUACAGUAGAGGUGGGCGGAAUGCGUGGUGUAGCGGUGAAAUGCUUAGAUAUCACGAAGAACUCCGAUUGCGAAGGCAGCUCACUGGACUGCAACUGACACUGAGGCUCGAAAGUGUGGGUAUCAAACAGGAUUAUAUACCCUGGUAGUC
RNAcentral lists this ribosomal RNA (460 nucleotides) under uncultured bacterium. Its description in RNAcentral is "partial 16S ribosomal RNA". It matches the Rfam family "Bacterial small subunit ribosomal RNA", at positions 338 to 795 of the family's 1533-position model. The record is from RNAcentral.